RNAcentral lists this ribosomal RNA (798 nucleotides) under human gut metagenome. RNAcentral's name for it is "bacterial SSU rRNA". It matches the Rfam family "Bacterial small subunit ribosomal RNA", at positions 547 to 1350 of the family's 1533-position model. The record is from RNAcentral.
GGAUUUAUUGGGUUUAAAGGGUGCGUAGGCGGUUAGAUAAGUUAGAGGUGAAAUCCCGGGGCUUAACUCCGAAAUUGCCUCUAAUACUGUUUGACUAGAGAGUAGUUGCGGUAGGCGGAAUGUAUGGUGUAGCGGUGAAAUGCUUAGAGAUCAUACAGAACACCGAUUGCGAAGGCAGCUUACCAAACUAUAUCUGACGUUGAGGCACGAAAGCGUGGGGAGCAAACAGGAUUAGAUACCCUGGUAGUCCACGCAGUAAACGAUGAUAACUCGCUGUCGGCGAUACACAGUCGGUGGCUAAGCGAAAGCGAUAAGUUAUCCACCUGGGGAGUACGUUCGCAAGAAUGAAACUCAAAGGAAUUGACGGGGGCCCGCACAAGCGGAGGAACAUGUGGUUUAAUUCGAUGAUACGCGAGGAACCUUACCCGGGCUUGAAAGUUAGCGACGGAUCUGGAAACAGGUCUUCCCUUCGGGGCGCGAAACUAGGUGCUGCAUGGUUGUCGUCAGCUCGUGCCGUGAGGUGUCGGGUUAAGUCCCAUAACGAGCGCAACCCCUACCGUUAGUUGCCAUCAGGUUAAGCUGGGCACUCUGGCGGGACUGCCGGUGUAAGCCGAGAGGAAGGUGGGGAUGACGUCAAAUCAGCACGGCCCUUACGUCCGGGGCUACACACGUGUUACAAUGGUAGGUACAGAGGGUCGCUACCCCGUGAGGGGAUGCCAAUCUCGAAAGCCUAUCUCAGUUCGGAUUGGAGGCUGAAACCCGCCUCCAUGAAGUUGGAUUCGCUAGUAAUCGCGCAUC